GUAGGCAGCAAACAAGGAAGAGUUUGCAAACUACAUCUCGAAGGACGUUUUGUUUGUGUGUUGUCGUUUCUUGCGUUCCAUCUGGGAGGCUCUGUUGAUGUGUAUGGCUACCUGUAAGAGAGCACUGAUGAAGAAUGGAGAAGAUGUAAAAUAGAGCUCGCCAAAGGUUUUAAAAAUAAAUCAAGAGCUUCCGGUGUUAAUGUAGAACAACACUUCCCUUCUGAAAGUCCAGAGCCAGAGCCCCUAAAAAGAACACUGCCCAGGACUGUAAAGGAUAUGAAAAAGGAACCACAUCACCAUGAGAGUGUGGAGGGGGAACACUUACUCCCUGCAAAGCUGUUUUCAAGACAGGCUACUUGUGUCAUGUAGGGUGGAAAGAAAUGAGUGAAUGAAGGCAGAAGCGCCCAGAAAGAAGGUCAGGGUAGGCAGAUGAGCAAUCAGAAAAGUUCUCUAUUUCCGAGACUUUUUCCAAGUUGGGACCAUAUGUCUGAGGUUAUCUCAGUGCUAUAUAUUUAGACUACCAGAAGGUAGUUUGCAGGAACUACUCCAGGAAAUAACUGCUUCACGUCUCAGGCCUUUGCGGAGAAGAAAGCUGAACACACAAUCUAGAGAAUGCUGCCCCACUGCUGACAAUGCCAAGACCCCCUUGUGCUUCCUGGAAUAUGGACAUGAUAUGUCAAACACCAUCGUGGAAUGUCAAAUGGGAGCCACACCUUAGUAAGGGGGAAACUGAAUAUUGUGUCACUGAUAAGUUGAACAAAUAACUAAUUUAUACACUGUUUUCUUUGGUUUAAUGAAAGAGUAACCUUUCACCUAAUACAUAUGGUAGUGUUAUGGGCUUCCUAUAUUAAUCUGGCUGAAAGACCCCUUUUUUUAAUCAAAGAGAUUUUUUACCUGAACACUUAGAUUUGGAGCUUGUCUUGCAAGAAAUGAGUAAUUCUAGCAACAUUGAGUACAUGUUUUCAGGUAGCCCAAAUACUGCAAAGGCAAGGUGCACCAAAUGCAUCUGAAAAUGGCAGGAGUUUCCAGGUUACCACAGUCCCCACCAUCUUUAAUGUCUUCUCCUUGCCUGAGUCCACUCACUUCACUUACCCUAUCUGGGACCCUGGGAUAAAGAACUGUGCACAAUGUAAGACUGCCAGUUUGCUCUCUUUCAGAUAAAACCUGCCCCUUGCACUCCAGUAAACAUUGUUAUGAUUCAAAAUGCAAUUCCCCAUUCUCUGAAAUACCAGAGUUUUCAAUGAGAUUUCUGGAAAUUCCUAAUGGCAUCUAGGUUUUCUCGAGGUAUCGUGUCAGUUCUUUGCAUGUUGAAACAGACAUUCAUACCAGUCACAUAAGCAUAGUCCUCUCCACAACAGUCUUGAUAAGGUAUGAGGAACUUAUCUGUAAGCAUUUAUUUGUAAUUAUACUUGAAAGUUCUUCCUUAUCUUUCUUGAUACCCCAACCAUAGAAGUUUCUUAUUCUCAGUAUAUUCUGUCUCUCUGAACUUCUUCUUUUUUUCUUCUUUUCUUACCUGCUUUUCCCCUCUGUUAAAGAAACAUAUAGACACAGUUUGCCCAUACAGAAUACGUCUUCUGUCCUCUUGCAAUGCCCCUGGCGAUCUCAGAAAAUCAUUGUCUGUUUCCAAAUAUUGUCAUGAGAUUUAAGAAGGGUUUGACUAUCUGCUGAAGGAACCCACCUAUGGAGGGAUCUAAGUUGGUAAAGUUGUUCAAACAGUGCAUGACCACAUGCUGGAAGCCACAAAUGACUCCUUUUUGCCCAUGCUAUUUGUUGAGAGGAAAAUCACAGGACAGCUGAGGGAGAUGUAUGUCCUAAAAGAAUGUUAUGUAAGACAGUUUGAAG
RNAcentral lists this long non-coding RNA (1842 nucleotides) under Heterocephalus glaber (naked mole-rat). RNAcentral's name for it is "lncRNA (ENSHGLG00000033469.1)". Lineage: Eukaryota; Metazoa; Chordata; Mammalia; Rodentia; Bathyergidae. The record is from RNAcentral.